Molecule: long non-coding RNA, 2248 nt
Organism: Ooceraea biroi (clonal raider ant)
Lineage: Eukaryota; Metazoa; Arthropoda; Insecta; Hymenoptera; Formicidae
Source: RefSeq, a predicted model, not a curated record
AACAGAGAGAGAACAUUUGUAAGACAAACAAAUAUCGAGAGAAAGAGAGGUAACUCAAUAAACAACGAUUCCAUUAAAUUUUCUGAAGAAACUCGGUAGAUUUCCGCUACCAAAUGAUAUUCCUGAAUCGUUUCGGUCGGAUCGCGAGCGGAUUCUUGCGACUCGAUCGCCACAAAAGUGAUUAGAAAGGUCUCUCGCGCUAUUCGAUAUCUUUAUUAAAUGCGUAUCCCUGCUGACGUAAGUCGGCGAGUCGCGCGACCAUGCGGGAUUAGCAAGUCGGUCAAGAUUUGCGCAGCCGUGACAUUUCUUCGGGUACAACUUUGCCGGGCGAUAGCGGCGGCCAGCGAUCCGGGAAGAAAAAUCGCACGCCCGCGGGAGCCGGUGAAAGUCGAGCAAAGGCCGCGUUUUGCAUGUAUAAUAUACGUGUAUAUUGCGAGCGAAUCGCGCAUGAUCGCGCGACACCGCUCAGAAUUUCGCAACUCGACAGGGAUCGCGAUCCGUUGCUGUUAACCUUCACGGAAGACCUAUCACCGUCAGAGGCUUGACCUUAAACCUAGCAGGACCGAGGCCUAAUCUGUGACUUAGCGAAUAGUCAUCGAGUCUCAGCAUCGAGUCGGUCGGCGUACAAAUAUAGUCUUUGCUUCUUUAUUUCACGUCAUAUCGCCUAAGCGGACGCAAGGGUGCAUUUCGUACCUCAUCCCCGAGCGCAAGCUGGCAAGACAAUUAUGCCGGUUCCGGAGCGAGGUUUCCAAUGACGUGUCAUCGCACAUGCAGGAUGCUAAUGGAAGGGUCAGCGGCGUAGCAAGACUUUCUCCGGCGUUACAUUUACGAAACGUAUUUCUGCAAAAUAAUUGUGCGCGUCGUUCGCGCCUUGCCGCAUUGCGUUACAUAAGCACCUCGCUCAAAAGUACAAAUUUCUCACACUAGAAACCUGCCUGCCUCGCCUUCAGACCCGUCCGAAGUCUUUCCGGGCCGUAGUGACGUAAUUAGCUGCUGCCAAUGACCACGUAAUUGCGAGGAACGCCAUCCGCGUGGCUGGAUGCUCGAACAGGCGUAUCAUUGUUGCUCGUGCAGAAGAAACUCACGGAUCAACAGACACCGAAAUCAAUUUAUUUUAUUGUACAUAACAGGUGUCACCGUUCGUUUGCGAUGAGAGCCGUACUAUCGCAUGACGCGCUAUUACUCAUCGUCAGGUGACGCACACUCUUACGCUAGUCUUUACGUUCUGAUAGAUAAACGCUUCUUGCGAGUAAUGCGACUCGUUCGAGCAUAAAAAGUUGCUUUCGGUGGGAAACGGUACUCCUGCGGCGUUUCAGCCAAGAUCUUCAGGAGCAUCGGAGAUUUCGCUCUGAAACGACACUGGAGCGAGAAGAUGAGACGCGUCAAUCUCGCCGCGCGGUAAUCACCCGAGCAGCAACGUGAAAUGAAAAUACCCGCCCAUAGAGUUCUUGUGCAAUCAGAGACUCAAGCCUGAUGGCCAAAGGCAUCCAGAGGAUUUAAGUCGAGUCGAUUCGAUUCGACUGGAGCGUUCGUGCUUGGGAAACGACACUGCCGAUCGGUCGCGCUUCGGGCACUCGCGAAAUCGCUAUUCCGCGCUCGCGAGUGCUUCCAGUGAUCGCUCUGCGCGGCCACAGUCCACUUAUGGUAUACUCCUAGACGCGAAACGAUGACUCAUGGCAUUAAUCCGGAUCGAAGAGAUCCGUCUGGAGUGCCAGAGACUCGUGAGACUCGCCAAUUCGCCAAGCGCGCUCUCCGACAUUGCGCAAGAACGAGAUCGCAAGCCGAGUACACUCGACGUGGGACAAUGCGCUGCAUCCCAAGGCAGGCAGAAUGCAGCGGGGAAAGAAAAAAGCGUCGGCGACGGCGGCUUGGCGUUGCUUGCUGAUGAUAAGAGGCGGAGCGAGUGACUGAGCGAGUGCAAGAGAAAGGAGGCACGAGCUAGGGGGUGACGGACGACGAAGAAAGGAGGGCCCUGUUCCCUUCGCCGCGGCAAUCGAUAAGCGCAAUUAAGAACCGUCUUUGAAAUAAACGAAACAGCGAGAAUGAGGGUUCCCCGCUAAUGAUGGGCGGAGGAGGAGGAGGAGGACAAGGAGAGCUCGUUUUGCUUCUCGAGCAUCGCCAGCGUUUCGUGCACCGUUCACUUUGCUCGACCGCUGGGCGAACCUAGACUCCCUAGUAACUCUCGUCUGCAAAACGACAACUCUUCCCGGUACGAGUAGAACAAUAAGAGGCAAAGGUCGCUUAUUGC